This 69-nucleotide transfer RNA is filed under the name Pseudanoplocephala crawfordi. Its description in RNAcentral is "tRNA-Glu". The record is from RNAcentral. Lineage: Eukaryota; Metazoa; Platyhelminthes; Cestoda; Cyclophyllidea; Hymenolepididae.
UUUGUUUUAGUAUAAGUUUAUUAUAUUAACUUUUCGUGUUGAUGAUAGUUUGUGUGAAACUAAACAAAU